CACAGACUAUCCAUACCCAUGAGAUUUUCUGGCUUAGAAUCAUUCCAUUGGUCUAUUAAAUCUGUUUUCUUGCUUGAGGCAGUAUCUUUGAGAAGGCGAUUCUAUUUUAGUCCUCAUACAUUAUACAUGAUAAGUAUAAAAGGAAUUCAUUUUUUUCUGAUAGAAAAGAGACUUUUACCUUUAGAAACGAGAAUCAUAACUUAAGUUGUGGUAAAAAACAAAAACUCAACUUGUCUUAUUUAAAUGCUUUUGGGUUUAAUUGUGGAAGACAGUGUGGCGAUUCCCCAAGGAUCUAGAACUAGAAAUACCAUUUGACCCAGUCAUCCCAUUACUGGGUAUAUACCCAAAGGAAUAUAAAUCAUGCUGCUAUAAAGACACAUGCACACGUAUGUUUAUUGCGGCACUAUUCACAAUAGCAAAGACUUGGAACCAACCCAAAUGUCCAACAAUGAUAGACUGGAUUAAGAAAAUGUGGCACAUAUACACCAUGGAAUACUAUGCAGCCAUAAAAAUGAUGAGUUCAUGUCCUUUGUAGGGACAUGAAUGAAGCUGGAAACCAUCAUUCUCAGCAAACUAUUGCAAGGACAGAAAACGAAACACUGCAUGUUCUCACUCAUAGGUGGGAAUUGAACAAUGAGAACACUUGGACACAGGAAGGGGAACAUCACACACCAGGGCCUGUUGUGGGGUGGGGGGAGGGGGGAGGGAUAGCAUUAGGAGAUAGACCUAAUAUAAAUGACAAGUUAAGGGGUGCAGCACACCAACAUGACACAUGUAUACAUAUGUAACAAACCUGUACGUUGUGCACAUGUACCCUAGAACUUAAAGUAUAAAUAAUAAAAAUAAAAUAAAAUAAAUGCUUUUGGGUUUAAGUGAAUGAAGUCAUGAAGAAAGUGAGUAAAAAUCUACUGCUAGCACCUAGCAGUAAUUCAACUUUGUGAAUUUAAGAAAAGCACCCUCUUCGGGCAAAUUGACAAAAGGUGACCCUACUGGACAUGACAAUGGACAUAGGCAACUCUCAGAUGAAUUAGAAAAGAGUGCCCCUUCCUAUGAGCUGCCAGAGCUAGAGACCUGGCCCCAGGAGUGGAGGCAGAAUUCAGCCCCACCCCUUCCUUCCUCCUCAAACUCAUUAUCUCAUGGCAGGGGCCCAAAUAACACAUUUUAUCCCCCUGUGCAAAACAAAGUCUAUUUCUUAGAAUUCAGCCUUCUUAGAAGGUCAAUAAUGGGAAAUGCAGGGCUGUGUAAAUAAUUACAUCUUCUUCCUACCAUAACAUCAUAACUAGCACAAUUAUAAAAGACAGAUAGGAAAAUAAUAAUAGUCAUGAAAAUGAUAAUAAUGUACUUUGAAGAGGAGGAACAGGUAAGGAAUGGCAUCAAAGGCUGGAGGCUGAGUAAACUUCAUAAGGAAAAGUUCUUGGCUGAUGGCCACCCAGCUUCAAUAUUCUGCCAGGGUGCCACUUGCAUAAUUUAAGAGAACUGAUCCUUUUCCCUCACCUCUAUUGCCACUUGUCCACACAUUUAUAAUAAUAGAUUACACCUGGGCAGAGCUUGUAUUGUACAGUGCCAAGUACUGUAUAUAUAUACUCACAUCAACUGUGAAGCUGCUCUCUCCACUUUACAGACAAGGAAAGUGAGACAGAGAGAGGUUAAAUAAACAGCCCAAGAUUGUAGCUGAUGUAUUAAUCCACAGCUAAAUGGGUCUCCUUAAAGAUCUGGAAAGCUGCUGACAAGAAGCACCGUCAAAGAUGAGGUCAAAAAGGAAACUCCUUUUCAGUGAUCCAGUACAGGACAUUCUUUUUAGGCAUGGAACCCUGGGAUCUGUCAUAAGUUAUGAAACUUUGAACAAACCAUUCCACUUCCACUUCCUCAUCUUUGAAAGGAAGGCAUUGGAUGGCAUGUUCACUUCCAGCUCUAAAAUGCUGUUCCUCUAAUUUACAUGCAAAAUAGCAUGUAGACAGCCUUUAGGGCCAUCUGAAUGUAAAUACCACAUCUACCUUUUUGAAGCCAUGGGGCCUAGCUAAAACUCAAUUUACUCAUCUAUAAAAUGAGAAUAAUAAUAAUAUCUACCCCUUAGGGUUAUUGAGAAUAUUAAAUAAGAGAAUAAAUGUUAAAGCCUUUAGCAUAUCAUUUAGCUUUGGCUAUGUGACUAGUACAUAGUAAGUGUUCAAGAAAUUUUCCUUUAUCACUAUCAUCAUCAUCAUCAUCACCCUGUGUGUAGGUGCUACUUGCGAAGGUGCUCCAAUUUUAAUUCCCUGCAGAUGCAAUAAAGAGUUGGCAAAUUCCCAGCUGGGCGCGGUGGC
RNAcentral lists this long non-coding RNA (2300 nucleotides) under Homo sapiens (human). Its description in RNAcentral is "non-protein coding LINC02252:6". The record is from RNAcentral. Lineage: Eukaryota; Metazoa; Chordata; Mammalia; Primates; Hominidae.